This 462-nucleotide ribosomal RNA is filed under the name uncultured bacterium. RNAcentral describes it as "partial 16S ribosomal RNA". It matches the Rfam family "Bacterial small subunit ribosomal RNA", at positions 28 to 507 of the family's 1533-position model. The record is from RNAcentral.
GACGAACGCUGGCGGCGUGCUUAACACAUGCAAGUCGAGCGGUAAGGCCUUUCGGGGUACACGAGCGGCGAACGGGUGAGUAACACGUGGGUGAUCUGCCCUGCACUUCGGGAUAAGCCUGGGAAACUGGGUCUAAUACCGGAUAUGACCUCCUAUCGCAUGGUGGGUGGUGGAAAGAUUUAUCGGUGCAGGAUGGGCCCGCGGCCUAUCAGCUUGUUGGUGGGGUAAUGGCCUACCAAGGCGACGACGGGUAGCCGACCUGAGAGGGUGACCGGCCACACUGGGACUGAGACACGGCCCAGACUCCUACGGGAGGCAGCAGUGGGGAAUAUUGCACAAUGGGCGAAAGCCUGAUGCAGCGACGCCGCGUGAGGGAUGACGGCCUUCGGGUUGUAAACCUCGUUCAGCAGGGACGAAGCGCAAGUGACGGUACCUGCAGAAGAAGCACCGGCUAACUACGUG